GCUUUCGUGGUAUAGUGGUCAGCAUAUUCGGCGCAUAUUCGAGAAGUCCGUGGUUUGAAUCCCAGCGAGAGCA
RNAcentral lists this transfer RNA (73 nucleotides) under Stegodyphus mimosarum. It matches the Rfam family "tRNA". Rfam says of the family: Transfer RNA (tRNA) molecules are approximately 80 nucleotides in length. Their secondary structure includes four short double-helical elements and three loops (D, anti-codon, and T loops). The record is from Rfam by way of RNAcentral. Lineage: Eukaryota; Metazoa; Arthropoda; Arachnida; Araneae; Eresidae.